This 301-nucleotide ribosomal RNA is filed under the name uncultured bacterium. RNAcentral's name for it is "partial 16S ribosomal RNA". It matches the Rfam family "Bacterial small subunit ribosomal RNA", at positions 509 to 807 of the family's 1533-position model. The record is from RNAcentral.
CAGUCGCCACGGUAAUAUGAAGGGGGCUAGCGUUGUUCGGAAUUACUGGGCGUAAAGGGCGCGUAGGCGGCCAUUCAAGUUAGAUGUGAAAGCCCUGGGCUCAACCUAGGAAUUGCAUUUGAUACUGUUUGGCUUGAGUUCGGGAGAGGUGAGUGGAAUUCCCAGUGUAGAGGUGAAAUUCGUAGAUAUUGGGAAGAACACCAGUGGCGAAGGCGGCUCACUGGACCGACACUGACGCUGAGGCGCGAAAGCGUGGGGAGCAAACAGGAUUAGAUACCCGGGUAGUCCCUGUCUCUUAUAC